UUCCUGUUAGCUUCUCUUCCUGGCUCAUCAGAAAGCAAGGCAGACAUGUGGAGCAUGGUCUGAAUGUUAUCCGCCGCCAUCUGCUCAAAUUCAUCAUAGAGGCAUUGCCUUUUCACCAGCAUGUCAGUGAAGGAACCCGAAGUAAACGGUCAAUCUUG
Long non-coding RNA from Notolabrus celidotus (New Zealand spotty), 158 nucleotides. RefSeq lists it as uncharacterized. The record is from RefSeq and is a predicted model, not a curated record. The transcript is spliced from 2 exons. Lineage: Eukaryota; Metazoa; Chordata; Actinopteri; Labriformes; Labridae.